Molecule: non-coding RNA, 21 nt
Filed under: Arabidopsis thaliana (thale cress)
Lineage: Eukaryota; Viridiplantae; Streptophyta; Magnoliopsida; Brassicales; Brassicaceae
Source: RNAcentral
UCAACACUUCCAGGUGGUGGC